CGGACAGAAGGGAGCUUGCUCCCGGAUGUUAGCGGCGGACGGGUGAGUAACACGUGGGUAACCUGCCUGUAAGACUGGGAUAACUCCGGGAAACCGGAGCUAAUACCGGAUAGUUCCUUGAACCGCAUGGUUCAAGGAUGAAAGACGGUUUCGGCUGUCACUUACAGAUGGACCCGCGGCGCAUUAGCUAGUUGGUGAGGUAACGGCUCACCAAGGCGACGAUGCGUAGCCGACCUGAGAGGGUGAUCGGCCACACUGGGACUGAGACACGGCCCAGACUCCUACGGGAGGCAGCAGUAGGGAAUCUUCCGCAAUGGACGAAAGUCUGACGGAGCAACGCCGCGUGAGUGAUGAAGGUUUUCGGAUCGUAAAGCUCUGUUGUUAGGGAAGAACAAGUGCAAGAGUAACUGCUUGCACCUUGACGGUACCUAACCAGAAAGCCACGGCUAACUACGUGCCAGCAGCCGCGGUAAUACGUAAGUGGCAAGCGUUGUCCGGAAUUAUUGGGCGUAAAGGGCUCGCAAGCGGUUUCUUAUGUCUGAUGUGAAAACCCCGGGCUCAACCGCGGAGGGUCAUUGGAAACUGGGAAACUUGAGUGCAGAAGAGGAGAGUGGAAUUCCACGUGUAGCGGUGAAAUGCGUAGAGAUGUGGAGGAACACCAGUGGCGAAGGCGACUCUCUGGUCUGUAACUGACGCUGAGGAGCGAAAGCGUGGGGAGCGAACAGGAUUAGAUACCCUGGUAGUCCACGCCGUAAACGAUGAGUGCUAAGUGUUAGGGGGUUUCCGCCCCUUAGUGCUGCAGCUAACGCAUUAAGCACUCCGCCUGGGGAGUACGGUCGCAAGACUGAAACUCAAAGGAAUUGACGGGGGCCCGCACAAGCGGUGGAGCAUGUGGUUUAAUUCGAAGCAACGCGAAGAACCUUACCAGGUCUUGACAUCCUCUGACAACCCUAGAGAUAGGGCUUUCCCUUCGGGGACAGAGUGACAGGUGGUGCAUGGUUGUCGUCAGCUCGUGUCGUGAGAUGUUGGGUUAAGUCCCGCAACGAGCGCAACCCUUGAUCUUAGUUGCCAGCAUUCAGUUGGGCACUCUAAGGUGACUGCCGGUGACAAACCGGAGGAAGGUGGGGAUGACGUCAAAUCAUCAUGCC
Molecule: ribosomal RNA, 1148 nt
Filed under: Bacillus sp. (in: firmicutes)
Lineage: Bacteria; Bacillati; Bacillota; Bacilli; Caryophanales; Bacillaceae
Description: bacterial SSU rRNA
Rfam family: Bacterial small subunit ribosomal RNA
Source: RNAcentral